Molecule: long non-coding RNA, 1425 nt
Filed under: Mus musculus (house mouse)
Lineage: Eukaryota; Metazoa; Chordata; Mammalia; Rodentia; Muridae
Description: long non-coding RNA chr19:40741229-40742654
Source: RNAcentral
ACCACCUAAUCUCAAUUCUAUUGGACAGAAGAUUAAUCCAGGGGUCAUCUUUGGGUCUUCUGGGUGGAACAUGUCAAAUAAAAUGAGCCACUACUUUCAAUGUUGGGUUGCCCAUUGGUUAUAGUUAAUUAUUAUUCAUCUGUAGACUUUCAUUCAGGACUCAGAGGCUGGUUCUGCUAACCUUGUUCCUUCAAAAGUCGGUGAUUUUUUUUUUCUACGAACCUACUACAAGGGCAACCUUAAUCAGCAUAAAUGGUUUCAUUUGCAUAUAAAAAUGAAACUAUAGAACUAGGCUUUGUGUAUGCACAUGGAUGUGUAUGAGAGAGAAAAGUUUCAAUUCAUCUAAAUAAACGAGUAAGAAAUGUAACGUGAUAUAAACGGAAGUCUCAAAAGGACAUUUCAUGUUAGUGUUUUGUUAGCCAAGAUCCCUAUGGGAAACAGGUGGUAUAUUCCAUAGUGGAAAACAACCUGAGCUUAAAAAGGGACUAAAAUCAAUACUCUCAUUUCAAUAGCAGAUCAAUGUAAAAAUUGUUCAUAUGUGUUUUCAAAAUCGUAAGCUUCCAAAAUCUGUUGUGUGGGACUAGCCACAUUUUUGGCACCCAACACUGGCUGCCUGUUGGCAUGCUGCUGCUGGUGUUUCGGCAGGUUUGGGAAGCUGGUGUGUUGAGAAGUUCACAAGGCAGGUAAGAGGUAAGCCCUUGCUGCCUUUUCCUUGGGGAGCAUUGCACAAGUAGGCCAGGUGCACUGCCACACCCCUGCUGUUCUCUCAUUACACACAGACAUGAAUGUUGUCCCUAGAAAAGCUGUUAAGUCCCAGCUGGGCAUUUUACUAGGACCCUAUGGCUUUGCCAAAAGUGACAACUGGGCCAUGUGAUGUGAGUUUCAUAAGAUUCCACCUGGGUUCAAAGAUAAUUCUUCAUGUUUGCAUUUUCCAAAAUGUAAAUUCGAGUGUCAAUCAAAGAUCCUCUUUAAAACUUUACAAAAAAAGUUUUAUGUGUGUCAGUAUUUUGUCUGCAGAUUGUAUCUGUGUAGCACAUGCAUGCAAUGCCCAAGGUCAGAAAAGGAGAUCAGAUCCUCUGAAGCUGAUGUGGCGUUGGAGGUGGGUUUUGGCCACUAUGUGGGUGCCACAAGUCUAAUCAGGGUCCUCUAGAAGAACAGCCAGUGCUAAUAACCACCGAGCCACCCCUCCAGCCACAGAUCUUCUUUCUAAGUAGAAAUGGCUGUGCCUGGUGGUGCACGCCUUUGAUCCCAGCACUGGGGAAACGGAAGCAGGUGGAUCUCUGAGUUUGAGGCCAGUCUGGUCUACAUAGUGAGUUCUAGGACAGCCAGAGCUAUGUAGAGAGACCUUAAAAAAAUAGAAAUUAUAUACAGUAUGUAUAUAUAUGUAUGAAAAUCUCAAAAAAUAAAAAUAAAAAGUUUAAGUUU